GGGAACCUAUGAAAUUAUCAUAAGAAUAAGUGGAGCUGCAAACUGUACAGGAUUCUAAAAGCUGCAGGAGCCUGACUCAGGAGCGAUCCCAAUGAUCAACAAGUCAAUAACUGCAGAGUGCUUCAAACAGUGCUGGGUUCAUGCUGAUGGCACUGGAGGAAGAGCGCAACAGAAAUGGAGCAUGUGCUCAUUGUUUGUGAUCCUGGAUGGCUAACUGCAAGUUAACCAAACCCAGAAACUACAAGAGGGAAGGUAAUUUUGGGGGAUCUUAGAGUGGCAAGUCACAGGUUCAUAGAGCUCUGAAUCGGUGUCCCAACAUAGGUAGGAAAAGUGGGGACUUAUAUACACGGUUGAAGGUUGAGAAGGAUCAAGUUGAGGAGGAACAUGGACUGUACAACCAAAAUCAAUAAGAAACAAAGAAAAGAAUGUAUAAACAGAAUGGAAA
Nannospalax galili (Upper Galilee mountains blind mole rat) is the source of this 445-nucleotide long non-coding RNA. RefSeq lists it as uncharacterized. The transcript is spliced from 3 exons. The record is from RefSeq and is a predicted model, not a curated record. Lineage: Eukaryota; Metazoa; Chordata; Mammalia; Rodentia; Spalacidae.